Molecule: long non-coding RNA, 680 nt
Organism: Mus caroli (Ryukyu mouse)
Lineage: Eukaryota; Metazoa; Chordata; Mammalia; Rodentia; Muridae
Source: RefSeq, a predicted model, not a curated record
GUGAUGUAUUGGCUGAUUGGUAGGAGUUAGGAGUUAGAGGUUAAGUUCUAUGAGAUAAAGCCCCUUCACUUGGGGAGUGUGACCAACUGUGAGCUGAGGAGUAAAGUCAGAAAGGAGCAGGCACAGGCCCUCUACCAAGGAGCAAGAAGCAGAAUUAAAGUCCGUGUUCUUAGCCAAGAGCUCACAACUGCCAGAUGCAUACAGAAUCCAAGAGAACCUACUGAGAAUGACCAUUAGGUCCUUAGGUCCAUUAGGUCAUAAUGACCAUUAGCACCUUAGGUUCUGUGGUUUGCAAGCUGCAAAGGUAGGGUUUGAUACUUGGGUUGAUGUUCUAGAAGAGCGCUGACCCAUGGAAGUUGGAAUGAAUAUCUAGCCCCCCAGUGAUGGAGAAGAUGUUGGCCUGGGGUUAUCUGACCAGUGACAAGGCAGCUCUACACUGCAGGCUGUCACCGGAGAGCUUGCUGAAAGGGUCUGGUGUAGGAAGCGAAUGCUUAGGUUCGGAUGCAUCCAAGCACUGCCUGUGUUCCCCGGGCCGACCUCAAGGACCCCAACAAAACACUGUGUUCCAGGGGAUAACAAGCCAGUAGCAGCAAUAAACAUACUUUACAGACCUCCUGGGUAAACAGCAUUCUGCAGAGACCCACCCUGGGUUAUGACAGGAGCCAAGAGCUCCAAGGAGG